Molecule: long non-coding RNA, 673 nt
Filed under: Zonotrichia albicollis (white-throated sparrow)
Lineage: Eukaryota; Metazoa; Chordata; Aves; Passeriformes; Passerellidae
Description: lncRNA (ENSZALG00000014104.1)
Source: RNAcentral
CGCGGAAGCAGCGCGCAUGCUCCGCUGCCUUUUAUGAAUGGGGGCUGGAGGGGAGCGCGGAUGCGGCUCCCGGGGUUUUUUUUUUUUUCCCUUUUUUUUUUUUGAAUGAAGGGCAGCGGCAGCUGCGCAUGCACCGCGCCCCCCGCCCGGGGCUGGAGGACCAUCAUUUUAUCCCUGUUUGGGAAUUUCCAUUACUGCUGGGGAAAGGGACUUCUCCUCCUGAGUGAAGAUUCUGGGACGUGACUUGAAGCAAGGCAAGAGAAGCAAAACCUUUGUGUGAACAUCACAGAUUUUUGUCACCUUGUGCAGAUUCUGCUGAGACUCUGGCAGCAGCAGGAUAUUGAAGGAUUUGAGCUGAGGUGUUUGAGCAGUCACAGCCCCCUGCUCUGACCCCUCAUUUCCAGCGCAGACACGGCUCCCUCAGCCCCACAUUUCCUCCAGGCAUGCACAAAAGCCACACAGGGGUUGGGGUUGCUGUUGUGGGGUAAGAUACCCAAGUUCUGUGCAAGGGGAUGCUCACACCUGAGCUGUCUCUGGAAUCCCUGGCUGUGUGGCCCCUUUUCAGCAGAGAUUCCUGCAGCCCCAGCGUUUGAAGUGGCCGAAUCCCUGCAGGCCGGGGCCAGCAGCUCCGUCUGGCCAGGGCCCAUCGUCCCCUCGGCGCUGAUGUGGUGAG